RNAcentral lists this transfer RNA (69 nucleotides) under Ictidomys tridecemlineatus (thirteen-lined ground squirrel). Its description in RNAcentral is "Spermophilus tridecemlineatus (thirteen-lined ground squirrel) tRNA". It matches the Rfam family "tRNA". From Rfam's summary of the family: Transfer RNA (tRNA) molecules are approximately 80 nucleotides in length. Their secondary structure includes four short double-helical elements and three loops (D, anti-codon, and T loops). Further hydrogen bonds mediate the characteristic L-shaped molecular structure. tRNAs have two regions of fundamental functional importance: the anti-codon, which is responsible for specific mRNA codon recognition, and the 3' end, to which the tRNAs corresponding amino acid is attached (by aminoacyl-tRNA synthetases). tRNAs cope with the degeneracy of the genetic code in two manners: having more than one tRNA (with a specific anti-codon) for a particular amino acid; and 'wobble' base-pairing, i.e. permitting non-standard base-pairing at the 3rd anti-codon position. The record is from Rfam by way of RNAcentral. Lineage: Eukaryota; Metazoa; Chordata; Mammalia; Rodentia; Sciuridae. RNAcentral also lists the same sequence under 1 other name.
GGGGUUGUGGCUCAGUGGUAAAGCGCUCGCCUAGCAUGUGUGAGGAACUGGGUUCGAUUCUCAGCACCA